GACGAACGCUGGCGGCGUGCCUAAUACAUGCAAGUAGAACGCUGAAGGAGGAGCUUGCUUCUCUGGAUGAGUUGCGAACGGGUGAGUAACGCGUAGGUAACCUGCCUGGUAGCGGGGGAUAACUAUUGGAAACGAUAGCUAAUACCGCAUAACAGUAGAUAUCGCAUGAUAGCUGCUUGAAAGGUGCAAUUGCACCACUACCAGAUGGACCUGCGUUGUAUUAGCUAGUUGGUGGGGUAACGGCUCACCAAGGCAACGAUACAUAGCCGACCUGAGAGGGUGAUCGGCCACACUGGGACUGAGACACGGCCCAGACUCCUACGGGAGGCAGCAGUAGGGAAUCUUCGGCAAUGGACGGAAGUCUGACCGAGCAACGCCGCGUGAGUGAAGAAGGUUUUCGGAUCGUAAAGCUCUGUUGUAAGAGAAGAACGAGUGUGAGAGUGGAAAGUUCACACUGUGACGGUAUCUUACCAGAAAGGGACGGCUAACUACGUGCCAGCAGCCGCGGUAAUACGUAGGUCCCGAGCGUUGUCCGGAUUUAUUGGGCGUAAAGCGAGCGCAGGCGGUUAGAUAAGUCUGAAGUUAAAGGCUGUGGCUUAACCAUAGUACGCUUUGGAAACUGUUUAACUUGAGUGCGAGAGGGGAGAGUGGAAUUCCAUGUGUAGCGGUGAAAUGCGUAGAUAUAUGGAGGAACACCGGUGGCGAAAGCGGCUCUCUGGCUUGUAACUGACGCUGAGGCUCGAAAGCGUGGGGAGCAAACAGG
Molecule: ribosomal RNA, 763 nt
Filed under: uncultured Streptococcus sp.
Lineage: Bacteria; Bacillati; Bacillota; Bacilli; Lactobacillales; Streptococcaceae
Description: bacterial SSU rRNA
Rfam family: Bacterial small subunit ribosomal RNA
Source: RNAcentral